AUGCAGUUUAGAUGCUUGGUGUUACGGGCCUCCUGUUGUAGUUUGAAUGAAGAUGAUGAAGUGAGCUACAAAUGUCUGUUCUCUUACCCUUCACACACAGUUGCUGUGCUUGGUCGUCCACCUAGACCUCCACCUAGACGUCGGCGGCCUCGCUUUGACCCACCUACUUCCCACGUUGAGGAAGUUGUCCCCCCCACCUCUGACAUUCAGGUACCUCACUUGGACUCACCCCCUUCUUACUGUGAGGUUCCACCAAGCUGGGGGGAAACACCACUUCCUCUUUACUGUGAGCUUUUUCCUUCUUCUUCUCCUCCACACUCUCCCCUUCCUUCUGGCUCUUUUGCUCCUUCUCUUUCUCCUCCAGGCUCUCCUGUUCCUUCUGGCUCUUUUGCUCCUUCUCUUUCUCCUCCAGGCUCUCCUGUUCCUUCUGGCUCUUUUGCACUUUCUCUUUCUCCUCCAGGCUCUCCCCUUCCUUCUGGCUCUUUUGCUCCUUCUCUUUCUCCUCCAGGCUCUCCUGUUCCUUCUGGCUCUUUUGCUCCUUCUCUUUCUCCUCCAGGCUCUCCUGUUCCUUCUGGCUCUUUUGCUCCUUCUCUUUCUCCUCCAGGCUCUCCCCUUCCUUCUGGCUCUUUUGCUCCUUCUCUUUCUCCUCCAGGCUCUCCCCUUCCUCCUUCUUCUUCUUCUUUUCCUUCCACACCCCCUCCUCCUUAUUCUCUUGUUCCUUCUUGCACUCCUGCUCCUUCGCUUUCUCCUCCAGGCUCUCCUGUUUCUUCUUCUUUUCCACCUUCACCUCCUCCUCCUUCCCCUCUGGUUCCACCUAUUGUGGCUCUUUCUGAGCUGCCCUGUGUUCCGGAUGCUGGCCUGUCCCUGUCUCCUGUUAUUCAGGACUCAGGCUCUGUAGUGCACGGGACCAGCGAGGACGGGACCAGCGAGGACGGGACCAGCGAGGACGGGACCAGCGAGGACGGGACCAGCGAGGACGGGACCAGCGAGGACGGGACCAGCGAGGACGUACCGGAUGGGGGGGACGAGGAGGCUCCAAGCAGCAGCACGUCACUAAGGAGAGGUAGGGAGGACAGUGAUGAGGAGGGGGCUGCUCCUAAAAGACCAUGUUGUACUGUGAGACACUGUGUCACACAGUAA
RNAcentral lists this long non-coding RNA (1140 nucleotides) under Betta splendens (Siamese fighting fish). RNAcentral describes it as "lncRNA (ENSBSLG00000012182.1)". The record is from RNAcentral. Lineage: Eukaryota; Metazoa; Chordata; Actinopteri; Anabantiformes; Osphronemidae.